GCUUAACACAUGCAAGUCGAGGGGAAACGACAUCGAAAGCUUGCUUUUGAUGGGCGUCGACCGGCGCACGGGUGAGUAACGCGUAUCCAACCUGCCCACCACUUGGGGAUAACCUUGCGAAAGUAAGACUAAUACCCAAUGAUAUCUCUAGAAGACAUCUGAAGGAGAUUAAAGAUUUAUCGGUGAUGGAUGGGGAUGCGUCUGAUUAGCUUGUUGGCGGGGUAACGGCCCACCAAGGCGACGAUCAGUAGGGGUUCUGAGAGGAAGGUCCCCCACAUUGGAACUGAGACACGGUCCAAACUCCUACGGGAGGCAGCAGUGAGGAAUAUUGGUCAAUGGGCGAGAGCCUGAACCAGCCAAGUAGCGUGCAGGAUGACGGCCCUAUGGGUUGUAAACUGCUUUUAUAAGGGAAUAAAGUGAGAGUCGUGACUCUUUUUGCAUGUACCUUAUGAAUAAGGACCGGCUAAUUCCGUGCCAGCAGCCGCGGUAAUACGGAAGGUCCGGGCGUUAUCCGGAUUUAUUGGGUUUAAAGGGAGCGUAGGCCGGAGAUUAAGCGUGUUGUGAAAUGUAGAUGCUCAACAUCUGCACUGCAGCGCGAACUGGUUUCCUUGAGUACGCACAAAGUGGGCGGAAUUCGUGGUGUAGCGGUGAAAUGCUUAGAUAUCACGAAGAACUCCGAUUGCGAAGGCAGCUCACUGGAGCGCAACUGACGCUGAAGCUCGAAAGUGCGGGUAUCGAACAGGAUUAGAUACCCUGGUAGUCCGCACGGUAAACGAUGGAUGCCCGCUGU
RNAcentral lists this ribosomal RNA (790 nucleotides) under uncultured bacterium. Its description in RNAcentral is "bacterial SSU rRNA". It matches the Rfam family "Bacterial small subunit ribosomal RNA", at positions 46 to 823 of the family's 1533-position model. The record is from RNAcentral.